This 1558-nucleotide ribosomal RNA is filed under the name Pseudomonadota bacterium. RNAcentral's name for it is "bacterial SSU rRNA". It matches the Rfam family "Bacterial small subunit ribosomal RNA". The record is from RNAcentral. Lineage: Bacteria; Pseudomonadati; Pseudomonadota.
UUAUGGAGAGUUUGAUUCUGGCUCAGAACGAACGCUGGCGGCGUGGAUAAGACAUGCAAGUCGAACGGAUUUUCUGGUGUAGCAAUACAUCGGGGAGUUAGUGGCGCAAGGGUGAGUAACACGUGGGCAACCUGCCCGGAAAUGGGGGAUAGCCCGCCGAAAGGCGGAUUAAUACCGCAUAUGACAAGGGAUGGCAUCAUUCCGAAGUCAAAGUUGGUGAAAGCUAACGUUUCCGGAUGGGCCCGCGGCCUAUCAGCUAGUUGGCGGGGUAACGGCCCACCAAGGCAAUGACGGGUAGCUGGUCUGAGAGGACGACCAGCCACACUGGAACUGAGACACGGUCCAGACACCUACGGGUGGCAGCAGUCGAGAAUUUUUCUCAAUGGGCGAAAGCCUGAAGGAGCGACGCCGCGUGGAGGAUGAAGGUCUUCGGAUUGUAAACUCCUGUCAUGAGGGAGCAAGACACUACGUUAACUGCGUGGGUGUUUGAUAGUACCUCAAGAGGAAGAGACGGCUAACUCUGUGCCAGCAGCCGCGGUAAUACAGAGGUCUCAAGCGUUGUUCGGAUUCAUUGGGCGUAAAGGGUGCGUAGGCGGCUAGGUAAGUCAGAUGUGAAAUUCCGGGGCUCAACCUCGGAACUGCAUUUGAUACUGCUUGGCUAGAGUACUGGAGAGGAGACUGGAAUUUACGGUGUAGCAGUGAAAUGCGUAGAUAUCGUAAGGAAGGCCAGUGGCGAAAGCGAGUCUCUGGACAGUAACUGACGCUGAUGCACGAAGGCUAGGGGAGCAAACGGGAUUAGAUACCCCGGUAGUCCUAGCAGUAAACGGUGCACGUUUGGUGUGGGAGGAAUCGACCCCUUCCGUGCCGGAGCUAACGCGUUAAACGUGCCGCCUGGGGAGUACGGUCGCAAGAUUAAAACUCAAAGAAAUUGACGGGGGCCCGCACAAGCGGUGGAGUAUGUGGCUUAAUUCGAUGCAACGCGAAGAACCUUACCUAGGCUUGACAUGCAUCUCUAAGUUGGUGAAAGCCAGCGAGUGUAGCAAUACACAAUUUGCACAGGUGCUGCAUGGCUGUCGUCAGCUCGUGUCGUGAGAUGUUGGGUUAAGUCCCGCAACGAGCGCAACCCCUGUGGUUAGUUACCAGCCGCGAAAGCGAGGAACUCUAGCCAGACUGCCCUGUGAAACGGGGAGGAAGGUGGGGAUGACGUCAAGUCAGCAUGGCCCUUACGCCUAGGGCUGCACACGUACUACAAUGCUCAGUACAGAACGAACCGAAGCCGCGAGGCGGAGGAAAUCCCAAAAACUGAGCCCAAUUCGGAUCGCAGGCUGCAACUCGCCUGCGUGAAGCCGGAAUCGCUAGUAAUGGCGUAUCAGCUACGACGCCGUGAAUACGUUCCCGGGCCUUGUACACACCGCCCGUCACAUCAUGGGAGUCGCCUGUACCCGAAGUGCAUGAGCUAACCGCAAGGAGGCAGUGCCCGAAGGUAUGAGUGGUAACUGGGAUGAAGUCGUAACAAGGUAGCCGUAGGGGAACCUGCGGCUGGAUCACCUCCUUUCUA